GGGACCGCGGGCGGGCGGCGGCCU
RNAcentral lists this microRNA (24 nucleotides) under Callithrix jacchus (white-tufted-ear marmoset). RNAcentral describes it as "cja-miR-638". Its record names the gene cja-miR-638. The record is from miRBase by way of RNAcentral. Lineage: Eukaryota; Metazoa; Chordata; Mammalia; Primates; Cebidae.